Molecule: non-coding RNA, 51 nt
Organism: Vibrio sp.
Lineage: Bacteria; Pseudomonadati; Pseudomonadota; Gammaproteobacteria; Vibrionales; Vibrionaceae
Source: Rfam
CGUGUGGUGUCCAACUUAGAUUUGGAUAGCGACACGGCCUAAUAUUGAGGU